GGGUCAGUAGGUUGGUCGUGCCACCGGUACGUACUGGUCUCACUGAUUCCUCCUUCCUGAAGAACCGUAAUGCCAUCAAUUUGGUGUUGCGGGGGAAACAGGACUGUUACUUUGAAAAAAUUAGAGUGUUUAAAGCAAGCUAACGCUUGAAUACAUUAGCAUGGAAUAAUGAAAUAGGACGAUCGAUCCUAUUUUGUUGGUUUCUAGGAUUGACGUA
RNAcentral lists this ribosomal RNA (217 nucleotides) under Glomeromycotina sp. RNAcentral describes it as "partial small subunit ribosomal RNA". The stretch from base 86 to 217 matches the Rfam family "Eukaryotic small subunit ribosomal RNA", at positions 731 to 864 of the family's 1831-position model. The record is from RNAcentral. Lineage: Eukaryota; Fungi; Glomeromycota.